Molecule: ribosomal RNA, 253 nt
Filed under: uncultured bacterium
Lineage: Bacteria
Description: partial 16S ribosomal RNA
Rfam family: Bacterial small subunit ribosomal RNA
Source: RNAcentral
UACGGAGGGAGCUAGCGUUGUUCGGAAUUACUGGGCGUAAAGCGCACGUAGGCGGCUUUGUAAGUUAGAGGUGAAAGCCCGGAGCUCAACUCCGGAAUUGCCUUUAAGACUGCAUCGCUUGAAUCCGGGAGAGGUGAGUGGAAUUCCGAGUGUAGAGGUGAAAUUCGUAGAUAUUCGGAGGAACACCAGAAGCGAAGGCGGCUCACUGGCCCGAUACUGACGCUGAGGCGCGAAAGCGUGGGGAGCAAACAGG